CAUCACAGCUCGGAGGUAUGGAAUCAGAACUGCUUGGAGUUUCUCGAGGUGAUUGUGACGUUGAACUUUCUCAACAGAGGGUGCUAGAAGGACACUGAAGGAAGAAAGGACUCUCCCCUGUUCCUCGCUGCUUCCAGAGGUGCUAUCUCAAGCCUCUUACCAUGCCAGCUUCCAUCUGCAAGCCCAUACACCUGACCCACCUCCCGGCUCCUCCCUGCAUGAUUGCCGUGGGGCUGGGCUCCCGCUCGCCGAGCACACCCUUGUGCCUGGCCACCACAUGCCGUUCACGUCACAGUCACCCAGUGCUCUGGUGCCCCUCCAGCAGCCCAGGUCCAUGUUGCAGCCAUCACCUGCAGGUCAUUUAUGUGCUGCCUGAAUUCUGGAGGGUCGGUUUCUGCAGAUCAGCUCUGGUGCAUGCCAUGCCGCCCGUGAACUUCCCUGGCAUCUAGUGGGUUCCAGCUACAGCCUUGGGAGGGACCCUGUUUGAAGUUUAUUCUUCUCUCGCUACCCUCUCCCAGCCCUGGGAUUACCAUGUAGAGUUUCUCUUAUAUCCUAUAGUUAAUCUUUUAUCGAAGUCUAAUAAUGCUUCAUUAAAAAAAAUAUGACGUGAUGUCUGCCUCGUGAUUGGCCCCAUUGAUGCUUGCACAUUUUGGCCUUAUAUAAAGGUAAAUAUAACUUAAAACUUGUAAUAUUUGAGCUUCCACUGGUAUUGAGCUAGAUACCAUCUAAAGUUUCAAAUUAAAAAAUGGCAUUUUAGAAAUAAAACUUUCAAAACUGCAAAA
Neofelis nebulosa (Clouded leopard) is the source of this 782-nucleotide long non-coding RNA. RefSeq lists it as uncharacterized. The transcript is spliced from 3 exons. Lineage: Eukaryota; Metazoa; Chordata; Mammalia; Carnivora; Felidae. The record is from RefSeq and is a predicted model, not a curated record.